This 262-nucleotide ribosomal RNA is filed under the name uncultured bacterium. RNAcentral's name for it is "partial 16S ribosomal RNA". It matches the Rfam family "Bacterial small subunit ribosomal RNA", at positions 793 to 1055 of the family's 1533-position model. The record is from RNAcentral.
GUCCACGCUGUAAACGAUGUCUGCUAGCCGUUGGGAUCCUUGAGGUCUCGGUGGCGCAGCUAACGCGAUAAGCAGACCGCCUGGGGAGUACGGCCGCAAGGUUAAACUCAAAUGAAUUGACGGGGGCCCGCACAAGCGGUGGAGCAUGUGGUUUAAUUCGAUGCAACGCGAAGAACCUUACCAGGUCUUGACAUCCAGAGAACUGUUCAGAGAUGGACGGGUGCCUUCGGGAGCUCUGAGACAGGUGCUGCAUGGCUGUCGU